CGCAUGAGAUGAGGUCAUGAUAACGUAACGUAUUAUUCAAAGAUCGGGAAGAGGUUACUUAUCUGUUCGGAUUUGUAGAAUGUUUUCAGGGUUUGGGAGAGAUACUUCACUCAUGCUACUUGAAGUUAUGGCGGCUUCUCCUGUCAGUGUUACAUUGCUCCGAAUUUGGACCGUAGAUUGGUCGAUGAGUUACCAACUAUUGCUGCAAAGUUGAUCUUGGCUCACGGAGAUAGCUUUGUGAGGAUGAUUAUGACGAAGAGAAAGUAGGGCUAAAAAUUAUCGUCAAGCAAUCACAAUCAGAAAAGUUACUUCUCCCCAGACCCUGCUCGAAAAGUCCGAACGCUCACAUGACUUAUUACGUGAGGUGUUUACUCCCGCUUUUGUUUGAUUCGUUUCGUUCGCUAAAUUUCCCUCACUGAAGAGUCAUGGAUGAAAGUGACAAACUCCAACCUGGCAUACUGCGUGAACUGAAGGACACUGAGGAAAGAAUUGUUAGGGGAGAACUUCACCCUAACAAUCAGCUAGCCCUGAUGCACGAGUUCCUGGCCCAAGCCAAAAAAGCAUUGGAGUUUGCCUCAGGAGUAUUAGACUUAAAGGAACAGAGACUUCCACCUGAACCAAAGGCAGAAUCUCAACCUCAAUUGGAACCUCAAACUAAGAAGAAGAAAAUGUCUUGAUAAAAGAGCAUGGUUAACGUCAAGAGCAGUGGUAGCUUUGGUGCAAGAAAUAUUUACUAAGUCUUAUUAUUUAGUUGUUAAAAAUGCUUUAUUAGUAUUUGCAGCCAUGAUUUUAAAAAAUAAAAUCUUAGGAUGAGCCAAAGGCUUUUAUUUGUACUUAUUCCAUAAAAUAUAUGGCACUUUUACACAGCUCAGCUUUGAAGUUGUCUUUUUUAGGUCUCAGGUGCUAUAAGUUAUUUUCUUACGUGCUUUGUAGUAAUAUUUGCUGCCAUGACUUUGGCGAUUGUAUUUAUGACCAGCAAAAGGCUGUGACUUGAAUGUACAGUCAAUAAACCAUGACUUAGCUUUGCAGUAUUAAUUCUUUUCUCAGUCUUGCGAGCUGUAAGAGAUUUGCUAGGUGCUUUUAGUGGUAUUUGCAGCCAUGAUUUUAGAAAACGUACAUAUGACCAGCUAGAGGCUGUGAUUUUUCUGUACUGUCUAUAAACUAUGGCUUAGCCAAAAAUUAAAUGUUUUUUUUUUCAGUUUCAUGAACUGGAAGUUAGGUGCCAAAGUGCUUUGUAGUAGUAUUUCCUGCUAUGAUUUUAUAGAAUGUACUGAAGACUAGCUAUAGGGUGUGAUUUUCUUUACUGUCAAAUUAAAUUAUAGCUUAACUUUGUCAAUGUCAUGAACUGUAAGUCAGUUGCCUAUAAUAAGUGCUUUUUAGUAGUUUUUGCUGCCAUGGUUUAAGGAAUGUAUUUGAUACCAGCUAAAGGGUGUGAUUUUCUUUACUGUCAGUAAACUAUAGCUUAGUUUCCUCAAUGUCAUGAAUUGUGAACUAGUUGCCAAAGGGCUUUUUUAGUAGAUUUUGCUGCCAUGGCUUUUGAAAAUGUACUUAUGACCAGUUAUAGGCUGUGAUUUUCUGUACUGUCGAUUAACUAUGGCUUAGCUAUGAACUAGUCUUUUUGUAAUGUCAUGAACUGUAAAUUAGUUUCUGUAGUGCUUUUUAGAAGUAUAAUUUGCUGCUUUGACUUUAGAGAAUGUACUUGUUACUUGCUAUUUGCUGUGAUUUUCCAUUCUGUUAAUAAACCAUGGUUUGGC
RNAcentral lists this long non-coding RNA (1754 nucleotides) under Stylophora pistillata. RNAcentral describes it as "uncharacterized LOC111334042". Lineage: Eukaryota; Metazoa; Cnidaria; Anthozoa; Scleractinia; Pocilloporidae. The record is from RNAcentral.